RNAcentral lists this ribosomal RNA (274 nucleotides) under uncultured bacterium. RNAcentral describes it as "partial 16S ribosomal RNA". It matches the Rfam family "Bacterial small subunit ribosomal RNA", at positions 523 to 796 of the family's 1533-position model. The record is from RNAcentral.
AUACGGAGGGGGCAAGCGUUGUUCGGAAUUACUGGGCGUAAAGGGCGCGUAGGCGGAUAUUCUAGUCAGGGGUGAAAGGCCUGGGCUCAACCCGGGAACUGCCUUUGAAACUGGAUAUCUAGAGACCGGAAGAGGAUAGCGGAAUUCCCAGUGUAGAGGUGAAAUUCGUAGAUAUUGGGAAGAACACCAGUGGCGAAGGCGGCUAUCUGGUCCGGAUCUGACGCUGAGGCGCGAAAGCGUGGGGAGCAAACAGGAUUAGAAACCCCAGUAGUCC